UGCAUAGGAAUCUACCUAGUAGUAUGGGAUAGCCACUAGAAAUGGUGGGUAAUACUGUAUAAUCCCUGCGGGGGAAAGAUUUAUCGCUAUUAGAUGAGCCUAUGUUAGAUUAGCUAGUUGGUAGGGUAAAGGCCUACCAAGGCAGUGAUCUAUAGCUGGUCUGAGAGGAUGAUCAGCCACACUGGAACUGAGAUACGGUCCAGACUCCUACGGGAGGCAGCAGUGGGGAAUAUUGGACAAUGGGCGCAAGCCUGAUCCAGCUAUGCCGCGUGAGUGAGGAAGGCCUUAGGGUUGUAAAACUCUUUCAGUGGGGAAGAUAAUGACGGUACCCACAGAAGAAGUCCCGGCAAACUCCGUGCCAGCAGCCGCGGUAAUACGGAGGGGGCAAGCGUUGUUCGGAAUUAUUGGGCGUAAAGGGCAUGUAGGCGGUUCGGUAAGUUAAAGGUGAAAUGCCAGGGCUUAACCCUGGAGCUGCUUUUAAUACUGCCAGACUCGAGUCCGGGAGAGGAUAGCGGAAUUCCUAGUGUAGAGGUGAAAUUCGUAGA
Molecule: ribosomal RNA, 545 nt
Filed under: Anaplasma platys
Lineage: Bacteria; Pseudomonadati; Pseudomonadota; Alphaproteobacteria; Rickettsiales; Anaplasmataceae
Description: bacterial SSU rRNA
Rfam family: Bacterial small subunit ribosomal RNA
Source: RNAcentral